CAGGGAGCUUGCAGCAUAGCAGCAGGAGAGAAUGAGUAAUUAAGAAAUAUCUACAGGUCGGUGAAUGCCAGAAAAGAGAAAAGCACACGGCUCAUAGUAGGCGGCCACGAGAUCAAGGCGGCUGUGCGUCUUCCAGCCCUCCCAGUCCUGCCUGCGUCCGGUGGCGGCUGUCCACGUCCGCUGCAAACCAUGAGGAUCUGUGGGGCAGAGAUUUGAAGCUAUCCCAGAAGCAGGAGACUCAUUGCGCCUGGAACUCUGGUUAGGCAAGAAGCUUUAGAUUGAUAGAAGUGCUUUGGUAACGGAUGUGAUAGUUGGACUGACAACAGCCAUUUUGCAACCAUGAAGCAACUGCUGUUCCUGGUGUCUCUGAAUGGGCUGUUCCUGGUGAAUCUCAGACCCAGGAUCCAUUUGCAGAGUGAUGUCAACCCAGGCUUUGUCCUUUGGGUGUGGAGGGGCCUGGGGAGCAAGAGUCUCACACAGGUAGAGUUAGACAGUGUUCUCCACUUUGGUACCACCUGCUAGAAUGCUGAGUGGUAAUUUGUUCCUCCAAAUAUCUGGUAGCUGCUUGCUUUUGAAACCUCAUUUGUACUCCAGACAUGUUUACUAUAUGAUUGAGGAAAUGAAGGAAUGAAUCUUCAACUGCUUUUUCAAUUAUCUGUAAAAAUCUCCCCAUAGAGCCCUCAGAAUCUUUUUAUACACACCAUGCCCAGGUUCCUCCUCAUUAUCCUCUUCCUUAAAUGGCAGAUAUUGGAAGAGAACAUUCUUCCUUGGGCUAUAACAUCGCACAGGUUAGUAUAGUGGCCAAUUAGGAACAGUAGUGGUAACCAAAAUAUAGCAGCUUGAUUAAUGGUCGCGCUGCCCUUAAGUUCCUAACUAUUGAGCCAUUGUGAACAGAUGGAAAUAGCUUUCUCUGAAACAACUCUAUUGCCCCUUGUAUAAGGAAAUCAGCUAGCCCUUCAAAGAUCACUGAGAGGUAUAAAAGCACAAAAAAUAGCAUAAAAUCAGAAAGGUGGAAAGAGAAGACAAAGCCAGAAUGGAGAGAGAUUGGACGGUUUCUCUAGUGGCACCUGACCGAUGGUGUCACCAGCUCCCUAAUGAGAAGAGAUUUGAGUGAAGACAAAUAAAACUGCAAAAGAUAUUACAUGCUAAAUAUACUAUACAAUUCAAUUUAA
Mustela lutreola (European mink) is the source of this 1172-nucleotide long non-coding RNA. RefSeq lists it as uncharacterized. The record is from RefSeq and is a predicted model, not a curated record. The transcript is spliced from 5 exons. Lineage: Eukaryota; Metazoa; Chordata; Mammalia; Carnivora; Mustelidae.